UCCUUGGUGGCUCAGAGGGUAAAGCGUCUGCCUACAAUGCAGGAGACCCAGGUUCGAUCCCUGGGUUGGGAA
This 72-nucleotide transfer RNA is filed under the name Bos taurus (domestic cattle). It matches the Rfam family "tRNA". Rfam says of the family: Transfer RNA (tRNA) molecules are approximately 80 nucleotides in length. The record is from Rfam by way of RNAcentral. RNAcentral also lists the same sequence under 2 other names. Lineage: Eukaryota; Metazoa; Chordata; Mammalia; Artiodactyla; Bovidae.